RNAcentral lists this ribosomal RNA (777 nucleotides) under uncultured bacterium. RNAcentral describes it as "bacterial SSU rRNA". It matches the Rfam family "Bacterial small subunit ribosomal RNA", at positions 8 to 795 of the family's 1533-position model. The record is from RNAcentral.
AGAGUUUGAUCCUGGCUCAGGACGAACGCUGGCGGCGUGCUUAACACAUGCAAGUCGAACGGAUCACUCCAGCUUGCUGGGGUGGUGAGUGGCGAACGGGUGAGUAAUACGUGAGCAACCUGCCCUCCUCUCUGGGAUAAGCCUUGGAAACGGGGUCUAAUACCGGAUAUUCACUGUCUCCUGCAUGGGGGGUGGUGGAAAGCUUUUGCGGUGGGGGAUGGGCUCACGGCCUAUCAGCUUGUUGGUGGGGUGAUGGCCUACCAAGGCGAUGACGGGUAGCCGGCCUGAGAGGGCGACCGGCCACACUGGGACUGAGACACGGCCCAGACUCCUACGGGGGGCAGCAGUGGGGAAUAUUGCACAAUGGGCGAAAGCCUGAUGCAGCGACGCCGCGUGCGGGAUGACGGCCUUCGGGUUGUAAACCGCUUUCGGCAGGGAAGAAGCCGUGAGGUGACGGUACCUGCAGAAGAAGCGCCGGCUAACUACGUGCCAGCAGCCGCGGUAAUACGUAGGGCGCAAGCGUUGUCCGGAAUUAUUGGGCGUAAAGAGCUCGUAGGCGGUUCGUCGCGUCUGCUGUGAAAUCCUCAGGCUCAACCUGGGGCGUGCAGUGGGUACGGGCGGACUGGAGUGCGGUAGGGGUGACUGGAAUUCCUGGUGUAGCGGUGGAAUGCGCAGAUAUCAGGAGGAACACCGAUGGCGAAGGCAGGUCACUGGGCCGCAACUGACGCUGAGGAGCGAAAGCAUGGGGAGCAAACAGGAUUAGAUACCCUGGUAGUC